Molecule: long non-coding RNA, 727 nt
Filed under: Homo sapiens (human)
Lineage: Eukaryota; Metazoa; Chordata; Mammalia; Primates; Hominidae
Description: HSALNT0295543
Source: RNAcentral
UGGCCAUUGUCGUAGGCUUUGUCCACUUUGACAAACUGAAGACGGGGACUCGACUCACCUUCGCCAGCCACAGGAGGACCUCCAGACGAGGACCGGACUCGCCGCCUUUCUUUCCCGUCAGAAAGGGAUCCCUUGCGGACAAGACCGAAUGGCCCCUAAGGCUUCUCUGCAGGUCCAACCGAAACAGGCCUGAAGUUCCAGGAUGGGCGAGAGGAUCCUCUUUGAGCGAAACCAGCCUUCUGCCUGGCUGGCCCUGGUCAACACACUCGGAAGAGGCCGAUUUGGAGGACAGAACGGAAGAAAAGACCUAAAGUAGAUGAUCCUCAUCCAAUCACUUAAAGGCCUGAAUAGAACCAAAAGUCUGACCUGCCCAUGAGUAAGAGAGAGCUCCUUCUGCCUGAUUGCUUCAGCUGAGAUAUCAGCCUUUUCCUGCCUUUGGAAUUGAACUGCAACACUGGCUCUUCCUGGGCCUCAAGCCUGCCAGCUUUUGAACUGUAAUCACACCAUCAUCUCUCCUGGUUCUCAGGCCUUUGGACUCAAAUCAGAAACACACCAUGGGCUCUCCUGUGUCUCAAGCUUGCCAACUGUGAUCUUGAGACUUCUCAGCCUCCAUAAUCACAUGAGUCAAUUGUUGGUUCUGUUUCUCUGGAGAACCCUAAUCCAUCACUUUACAUAUUUCUUCCAUUACACAUAUUGUUUCCCAGCAUAUUAAAUAAUUUACUGAUUA